AUAGUUAUGCUUCUCUCCUGCUGAGACCCUGUGGAGCCAGCUGGCGUCGCCUCGACUAUAAAAUAUAGGCGUUUACCGCAAGUCCUUCGGGGCAACACUGCACGACUGCCGGGAAUGUCCGUCCCAGACAACCCGCAGCCCCCUACCCGGGGGUCCACAGACUAAGUGGCAGUGGGCGCUCAGCGCUUAAGAUAUAGUCGGCCUCAGCGCGCGAGCCCUGAGAUUCGGCGUCCGUAGGUGAACCUGCGGAAGGAUCAUUAAAGAAUUCGAGCUCGCGCUCCCAUUCUCACCCUCUGUAUACCAAACUUCGUUGCUUCGGCCAGCGCCUCGCGCCUGGCCAGAUGCCCCCAAACUCUUGAAUUAUGAUGUCUGAGUACUAAGUUAAAUAUUUUAAAACUUUCAACAACGGAUCUCUUGGUUAGACCAUCGAUGAAGAACGCAGCGAAAUGCGAUAAGUAAUGUGAAUUGCAGAAUUCAGUGAAUCAUCGAAUCUUUGAACGCACAUUGCGCUCCCUGGCAUUCCGGGGAGCAUGCCUGUUCGAGCGUCAUUACAACCCUCACGCUCCGCGUGGUGUUGGGCUGGCCCAGCAGGGCCGGCCUCAAAAUCAGUGGCGGCUCCGUGCGACCCCUAAGCGUAGUAAAACUUCACAUCGCUUCUGGUGGCCGGGCGGCAGCUUGCUAAGCACCCCCACACUUUUUAAAGGUUGACCUCGGAUCAGGUAGGGAUACCCGCUGAACUUAAGCAUAUCAUAAGGCGGGAGGAA
Molecule: ribosomal RNA, 764 nt
Filed under: Hypoderma berberidis
Lineage: Eukaryota; Fungi; Ascomycota; Leotiomycetes; Rhytismatales; Rhytismataceae
Description: eukaryotic LSU rRNA
Rfam family: 5.8S ribosomal RNA (bases 395-548)
Source: RNAcentral